GUGGGGUAAGGGUAGGAGAACGCGGAGAGGAGCACCGAGCGCAGCAGCGAGUGCAGGUGCGCCACGGCCCACGACGCACGCACCAGCGCGGCGCAGCGCCAUGGCGUCACCAGCGUGCCGUAGCGCAGGGUCCGGCGCACCGCCGUCGCGCGGUCGUAGGACAUGGCCGCCAGGAGGUAGCGCUCGGUGAUGCCCAGAGCCAGGAAGAAGUACAUCUGGGCAAAGCACGCCUGGAAGGAUAUGGCCUGGCCCGGGUGGAGCAGGCCGGCCAGCAGCCUGGGGACCGUGACGGUGGUAAAGCAGACGUCCACGAGGCUCAGACAUGCCACAAAAUGUUGAAUGAAG
This 345-nucleotide long non-coding RNA is filed under the name Pan troglodytes (chimpanzee). RNAcentral's name for it is "long non-coding RNA NONPTRT007024". The record is from RNAcentral. Lineage: Eukaryota; Metazoa; Chordata; Mammalia; Primates; Hominidae.